CUGUCAUCUGCUGUCUUGAUAGAAAGGGCAGAUUUCAUGCAACAUGUAAGUAAACUGCAGUGGGAAGGAAAGGAGAGUCUCUGUGUUCUCACCCACAUGCAGUCCUUCUCCUUACAGCCUGCUUUGUGUUUCUGCUCUUCACGUUCCUGGCACUGCUGCUGUCCAUGGCCUUCACAGGCAGAUUUUUUACCCCCUGGACCAUUGGGGAAGCCCUUCCAGCUCCACAGACACAUGACUUAAAGAAGAAACUGAAGAGAAGCCACCAGGAGACGUGUUGGGGGUUUCCCUACAGAAAAGGUUAGAUCCUGACUGUCAGCUUGGAAUCCUGGCUCUGGUCCUUUCUAGAUUCUAGUGUCAUCAUGGACAUGCCUUGAAAUUCUCUGUGCUGCAGGCUGCU
Bos indicus x Bos taurus (hybrid cattle) is the source of this 397-nucleotide long non-coding RNA. NCBI's taxonomy places the organism in Eukaryota, Metazoa, Chordata, Mammalia, Artiodactyla, Bovidae. The record is from Ensembl.